Molecule: ribosomal RNA, 297 nt
Filed under: uncultured Pseudomonadota bacterium
Lineage: Bacteria; Pseudomonadati; Pseudomonadota
Description: uncultured proteobacterium partial 16S ribosomal RNA
Rfam family: Bacterial small subunit ribosomal RNA
Source: RNAcentral
AGCGAACGCUGGCGGCAGGCUUAACACAUGCAAGUCGAGCGGGCAUCGCAAGAUGUCAGCGGCAGACGGGAGAGUAACACGUGGGAACAUGCCCUUCGGUUCGGAAUAACUCAGGGAAACUUGAGCUAAUACCGGAUACGUCCGUAAGGAGAAAGAUUUAUCGCCGAAGGAUUGGCCCGCGUCCGAUUAGCUAGUUGGUGAGGUAACGGCUCACCAAGGCGACGAUCGGUAGCUGGUCUGAGAGGAUGAUCAGCCUCACUGGGACUGAGACACGGCCCAGACUCCUACGGGAGGCAG